Molecule: RNA transcript, 1242 nt
Organism: Megalopta genalis
Lineage: Eukaryota; Metazoa; Arthropoda; Insecta; Hymenoptera; Halictidae
Gene: Fdx2
Gene name: Adrenodoxin-like protein 2, mitochondrial Ferredoxin 2
Source: RefSeq, a predicted model, not a curated record
UACCUCUGUCGCCAAAAUAGAGAGUUGAGGAUGUUAUGACACGUGCUCAGUAACGUCACACGUGUCAAGUGUUUCAUAACCUACCGUUUAGGGAUAAGUUAAAGUAUACGGUAUACCGCCCAGAAAGAAUGUUGCGAAAGUACUCGAAGUCAAUAUAGCUCCGUCCAGUUCUCAGUUUCAUCGACUUGGUCACGGUGUUCGGUGAAAUUGCCAUCAUCCACCUAUGGUAUUUCAACGAAAAAAUGGCGCUAGUAAAUAAGUUUCAACGAAUGUCGAGGGCGUUCUUCAAUGUUGCUUCACAUUAUUCGAAAUACAAAAACAACACGACGUUGUCCUCCUUUCAAGCGAUAAGACAAACCUCGACCACUCAACCGCUUUCGGAAAAACAGGAAGUCAACAUAACAUUUAUCAAGGCAAAUGGAGAAAAGAUUAAGGCAAAAGGAAAAGAGGGAGAUACUAUUUUAGAUAUUGUUGUAAACAAUGAAAUAGAUUUGGAUGGCUAUGGAGCUUGUGAAGGAACCCUAACUUGCAGUACAUGUCAUUUAAUAUUUCCAAAAGAAGUUUACGACACUCUUCCUGACAAACCAACAGAUGAAGAAUUGGACAUGUUGGACUUAGCAUAUGAAUUAACAGAUACGUCGCGUUUAGGCUGCCAGAUAGUUAUGACUAAAGAAUUAAAUGGAAUCGAAGUGAGAGUACCGACAACCCUCAACGAUGCAAGAGCGUAACCACAUUUUUGUCUACCUCGCUUAAAAUGUACAGAAUUUGAACAAUAAGCAUUCGAAUUUUUUAAUUAAAGAUAGAGAAUAUAAGAAGAACUAUUCUUUAAUAGCAAUAUAGGCGAUUAAGUACAGUCGUCUCUUAAUUCAACAGCUUUUUCUCUUCCCAAUUCAAGAACCUUUUUAUCCCCACCAUUCUGCGCAGUUGCUUUAGAAAGAGAACGGGAGAUUAUCAAGAGAGACAAAACGAACCUAGUGGGCUCUAUGUGUGAGUGUCCACGCCGACGAGAAAUCUGCUAUAAAACAGUUCAAAUGUGCUCUAAACCAGCUUUUAAUUUUCUGUAAAUCUACUCUAUAACAGCAUAAAAUCUACUCUACGUCUGCUCUAAAACAGCACAAAAUCUGUUCUAAAUCUGCUUUAAAGCGACACGAAAUCUGCAAAAGGUGCUGCUCUAAAACUCUAAAAACGCGAAUUAUUGAACAAUGCGCCCUAAUUGGAUAUAAAAUACAAUUGAGAAAACUA